AGGACGAACGCUGGCGGCGUGCUUAACACAUGCAAGUCGAGCGGAAAGGCCCUUCGGGGUACUCGGGCGGCGAACGGGUGAGUAACACGUGAGUAAUCUGCCCCUAGCUCUGGGAUAGCUCCGGGAAACCGGGAUUAAUACCGGAUACGACCACUUUAGACAUCUGUUGUGGUGGAAAGAAUUUUGGCUAGGGAUGAGCUCGCGGCCUAUCAGCUUGUUGGUGGGGUAACGGCCUACCAAGGCGACGACGGGUA
Molecule: ribosomal RNA, 254 nt
Filed under: uncultured bacterium
Lineage: Bacteria
Description: partial small subunit ribosomal RNA
Rfam family: Bacterial small subunit ribosomal RNA
Source: RNAcentral